GCCGGGAUAGCUCAUUUGGUAAAGCAGGGGACUGAAAAUCCUCGUGUUGCCAGAUCA
RNAcentral lists this transfer RNA (57 nucleotides) under Cololejeunea gottschei. RNAcentral describes it as "partial tRNA-Phe". Lineage: Eukaryota; Viridiplantae; Streptophyta; Jungermanniopsida; Porellales; Lejeuneaceae. The record is from RNAcentral.